GAUGAACGCUGGCGGCGUGCCUAAUACAUGCAAGUCGAGCGAACGGACGAGAAGCUUGCUUCUCUGAUGUUAGCGGCGGACGGGUGAGUAACACGUGGAUAACCUACCUAUAAGACUGGGAUAACUUCGGGAAACCGUAGCUAAUACCGGAUAAUAUUUUGAACCGCAUGGUUCAAAAGUGAAAGACGGUCUUGCUGUCACUUAUAGAUGGACCCGCGCUGCAUUAGCUAGUUGGUAAGGUAACGGCUUACCAAGGCAACGAUGCAUAGCCGACCUGAGAGGGUGAUCGGCCACACUGGAACUGAGACACGGUCCAGACUCCUACGGGAGGCAGCAGUAGGGAAUCUUCCGCAAUGGGCGAAAGCCUGACGGAGCAACGCCGCGUGAGUGAUGAAGGUCUUCGGAUCGUAAAACUCUGUUAUUAGGGAAGAACAUAUGUGUAAGUAACUGUGCACAUCUUGACGGUACCUAAUCAGAAAGCCACGGCUAACUACGUGCCAGCAGCCGCGGUAAUACGUAGGUGGCAAGCGUUAUCCGGAAUUAUUGGGCGUAAAGCGCGCGUAGGCGGUUUUUUAAGUCUGAUGUGAAAGCCCACGGCUCAACCGUGGAGGGUCAUUGGAAACUGGAAAACUUGAGUGCAGAAGAGGAAAGUGGAAUUCCAUGUGUAGCGGUGAAAUGCGCAGAGAUAUGGAGGAACACCAGUGGCGAAGGCGACUUUCUGGUCUGUAACUGACGCUGAUGUGCGAAAGCGUGGGGAUCAAACAGGAUUAGAUACCCUGGUAGUCCACGCCGUAAACGAUGAGUGCUAAGUGUUAGGGGGUUUCCGCCCCUUAGUGCUGCAGCUAACGCAUUAAGCACUCCGCCUGGGGAGUACGACCGCAAGGUUGAAACUCAAAGGAAUUGACGGGGACCCGCACAAGCGGUGGAGCAUGUGGUUUAAUUCGAAGCAACGCGAAGAACCUUACCAAAUCUUGACAUCCUUUGACAACUCUAGAGAUAGAGCCUUCCCCUUCGGGGGACAAAGUGACAGGUGGUGCAUGGUUGUCGUCAGCUCGUGUCGUGAGAUGUUGGGUUAAGUCCCGCAACGAGCGCAACCCUUAAGCUUAGUUGCCAUCAUUAAGUUGGGCACUCUAAGUUGACUGCCGGUGACAAACCGGAGGAAGGUGGGGAUGACGUCAAAUCAUCAUGCCCCUUAUGAUUUGGGCUACACACGUGCUACAAUGGACAAUACAAAGGGCAGCGAAACCGCGAGGUCAAGCAAAUCCCAUAAAGUUGUUCUCAGUUCGGAUUGUAGUCUGCAACUCGACUACAUGAAGCUGGAAUCGCUAGUAAUCGUAGAUCAGCAUGCUACGGUGAAUACGUUCCCGGGUCU
RNAcentral lists this ribosomal RNA (1372 nucleotides) under uncultured bacterium. RNAcentral's name for it is "bacterial SSU rRNA". It matches the Rfam family "Bacterial small subunit ribosomal RNA", at positions 28 to 1381 of the family's 1533-position model. The record is from RNAcentral.